RNAcentral lists this ribosomal RNA (245 nucleotides) under uncultured Falsiporphyromonas sp. RNAcentral describes it as "partial 16S ribosomal RNA". It matches the Rfam family "Bacterial small subunit ribosomal RNA", at positions 524 to 768 of the family's 1533-position model. Lineage: Bacteria; Pseudomonadati; Bacteroidota; Bacteroidia; Bacteroidales; Porphyromonadaceae. The record is from RNAcentral.
UACGGAGGAUGCGAGCGUUAUCCGGAUUUAUUGGGUUUAAAGGGUGCGUAGGCGGCUUGUUAAGCGGGAGGUGAAAUGCCGGCGCUCAACGUCGGAAGUGCCUCUCGAACUGGCUGGCUGGAAUGCCCCUGCCGUGGGAGGAAUGUGUGGUGUAGCGGUGAAAUGCUUAGAGAUCACACAGAACACCGAUUGCGAAGGCAUCUCACGAAGGGGUGAUUGACGCUGAGGCACGAAAGCGUGGGGAU